UAGGAGGAUAAUCAGCAGGAGCGCUCGGCCUCGACCCCAGCCCCCCACCAUAGCUAGAUUGCCGCUCAAUGAAUGGUCGAGGAGGAGGUGGUGGUGGCUGAGAGUAGUACCCAGGGUAGUAACUGGAGUACGGAUCAGAGUAGCCGCCGUAAGGAUACAAAUGCGCCGGAGGAGGCGGUGGAGAUGGAGAAGCAGGUGGCGGUGGUGCCACUACAGGCAGCGGAGGAGGAGGAGGGUGUGAGGAGUACGGAGAAGGAGAAUAUGAUCUAUAGGAAGGCGGCGGCGGAGGGGCAGUAGAGUAAUAAUAGCUAGAUGGAGGGGGUAUCUGGUAAUCCUGGGGAGUUGGAGAUUCACGAAUAGCAAUCUUCAGUCGGAUCUUACCGUGAGGACGACCCGAGGGUCGUCGGAGCUCAAAAGGUCUGAUUUUGUUCGGAUCAUCCAAGUUAACAAGGUCCUUCAACGGAAUCCUAAGUGUACCGACUAAAGGUUUGGGAGUUUCUGAGGGUUUGGAAUGGAAUACCUCGAGAGUGAGGACAGUAUCGUGAGGAGAUUGAGGAAGAUGGAGGACGAACCGCUCGUUCCAAACGGGUCGAGUAUUGCCGGAAUCAUCGGCUUGAGUGGCUCGCCGGUUGUCCGGGUCAACCCAAAAGAUGACAUAGGGCUUGAGAUCGCCGUGAUGCCAAUUGACAUUUU
RNAcentral lists this long non-coding RNA (693 nucleotides) under Nicotiana tabacum (common tobacco). Its description in RNAcentral is "long non-coding RNA (NTAB_LNC001300)". The record is from RNAcentral. Lineage: Eukaryota; Viridiplantae; Streptophyta; Magnoliopsida; Solanales; Solanaceae.